GUGGGGAAUAUUGGACAAUGGGGGGAACCCUGAUCCAGCCAUGCCGCGUGUGUGAAGAAGGCCUUUUGGUUGUAAAGCACUUUAAGCGAGGAGGAGGCUACCGAGAUUAAUACUCUUGGAUAGUGGACGUUACUCGCAGAAUAAGCACCGGCUAACUCUGUGCCAGCAGCCGCGGUAAUACAGAGGGUGCAAGCGUUAAUCGGAUUUACUGGGCGUAAAGCGCGCGUAGGUGGCCAAUUAAGUCAAAUGUGAAAUCCCCGAGCUUAACUUGGGAAUUGCAUUCGAUACUGGUUUGCUAGAGUAUGGGAGAGGAUGGUAGAAUUCCAGGUGUAGCGGUGAAAUGCGUAGAGAUCUGGAGGAAUACCGAUGGCGAAGGCAGCCAUCUGGCCUAAUACUGACACUGAGGUGCGAAAGCAUGGGGAGCAAACAGGAUUAGAAACCCCGGUAGUCC
This 451-nucleotide ribosomal RNA is filed under the name uncultured bacterium. RNAcentral describes it as "partial 16S ribosomal RNA". It matches the Rfam family "Bacterial small subunit ribosomal RNA", at positions 354 to 796 of the family's 1533-position model. The record is from RNAcentral.